UUCCGCAAGGAAGUAAGAUCCCUGAAAGAUGAUCAGGUUGAUAGGUCUGAGGUGGAAGUGUGGCGACACAUGGAGCUGACAGAUACUAAUCGAUCGAGGACUUAACCUAAUUUCUA
RNAcentral lists this ribosomal RNA (116 nucleotides) under Bacillus halotolerans. RNAcentral's name for it is "partial 23S ribosomal RNA". It matches the Rfam family "Bacterial large subunit ribosomal RNA", at positions 2815 to 2925 of the family's 2925-position model. Lineage: Bacteria; Bacillati; Bacillota; Bacilli; Caryophanales; Bacillaceae. The record is from RNAcentral.